GUCCCUGUAGCGUAAUGGAUAGCGCAUUGGACCAUUAAUCCAAAAGCCGUGGGUUCGAAUUCCACCUGGGAUG
Non-coding RNA from Trichonephila clavata, 73 nucleotides. Lineage: Eukaryota; Metazoa; Arthropoda; Arachnida; Araneae; Nephilidae. The record is from the annotation of a GenBank genome assembly.